AUUGAACGCUGGCGGCAGGCCUAACACAUGCAAGUCGAACGGUAACAGGAAGCAGCUUGCUGCUUCGCUGACGAGUGGCGGACGGGUGAGUAAUGUCUGGGAAGCUGCCUGAUGGAGGGGGAUAACUACUGGAAACGGUAGCUAAUACCGCAUAAUGUCGCAAGACCAAAGAGGGGGACCUUCGGGCCUCUUGCCAUCGGAUGUGCCCAGAUGGGAUUAGCUUGUUGGUGGGGUAACGGCUCACCAAGGCGACGAUCCCUAGCUGGUCUGAGAGGAUGACCCGCCCCCAGGGGACCAGGACCCCGGACCAGCCCCCUGGGGGAGGCAGAGGGGGGAAUUUUUGCAAAAGGGGCGCAAGCUGGAUGCACCCAUGCGGGGUGAAGAAAGAAGGCCUGGGGGUUGUAAAGUACUUUCGGGGGGGAGGAGGGAAUAAAAGUAAAUACCUUUGCUCAUUGAGGUUCCCCGAAGAAGAAGCACCGCCUACCCCCGU
RNAcentral lists this ribosomal RNA (490 nucleotides) under uncultured bacterium. Its description in RNAcentral is "partial 16S ribosomal RNA". It matches the Rfam family "Bacterial small subunit ribosomal RNA", at positions 29 to 506 of the family's 1533-position model. The record is from RNAcentral.